Molecule: long non-coding RNA, 898 nt
Organism: Xenopus laevis (African clawed frog)
Lineage: Eukaryota; Metazoa; Chordata; Amphibia; Anura; Pipidae
Exons: 6
Source: RefSeq, a predicted model, not a curated record
UCAGAAACUACAUGCGUACAGAUCAAGGGGCUGCCUUAUGAAGUCACUGAGGGGCGUUGCUGAACAAACCGGAUGUGGGUGAAGCAAUAUAAGUAAGGGCAACGUGUGAUUGCUGCACUGGUGUUGCUUUUGUCGACAUGGUUGUGGCUAUCUACCUGUGCAGGAGGCCACAUAUAAAGAUGUGUCGAAACUAUGGCCACAUCCUGCAUUUGAUUGAACGAUGAACAACCAGACUAAGGAACUAAAGUAAAACUUGUCAAGAAAUGAAGUGAGUGCACCUUUUCCAGCUUGAUAACUAAUGGCACAAAUAUCAAGGUGUUAAAACUCUGUAGAAGAACUGAAGAGCUCAUCCAUGGAAACCUGAAGCUGUGUAGUACUGGUUAUUCACCAGUGAGCCUAAAUGCAUAUAAUGGGUUGCAAUUAUCUUGCAGUCUUGUAUCAACUGCAGGUAUAAAUCUGGAUGAUCUUCCUGACCUAAAGCUGAUUUUGGCUGCCGGGAUAGCCAGUUUUUCCCAAGGUAGACAGACCCAGCUGAAUCCACAAAGGGAUACCAGGAGCCUGAAAAUAGAUUUGCACUACAGUGCAGCCUAUCUUGAUCCAACUACCUUGCCUGGCUGCAUUAAGAGAAUUCAUCCAAAAAACGGCUAACCUGAAAUGACGGGGCUGUCCUAGGAAAAGUGUAGCAUGGGUUAUUCUUUGUUGAAUGACUUUCCACAUGUAUAGAGUACUGUAAAACAGUGUUCUGCAUUUCCCUCUUAGUUCCAUUUAUUUUAUACUUUUGUUUUAGUCUAAAUGAGUUUUUGGUCGAUGCCCCAGUUCUGGCUGGUGGAAUAUGCUGGUUUAUGAUAAUGCAGAAUUUCUGAAUUUAAAUAUUUCUAAUAAAAGUUACUUUAUACUC